RNAcentral lists this ribosomal RNA (852 nucleotides) under Bacillus sp. (in: firmicutes). RNAcentral describes it as "bacterial SSU rRNA". It matches the Rfam family "Bacterial small subunit ribosomal RNA", at positions 125 to 977 of the family's 1533-position model. Lineage: Bacteria; Bacillati; Bacillota; Bacilli; Caryophanales; Bacillaceae. The record is from RNAcentral.
CCUGCCCAUAAGACUGGGAUAACUCCGGGAAACCGGGGCUAAUACCGGAUAACAUUUUGAACUGCAUGGUUCGAAAUUGAAAGGCGGCUUCGGCUGUCACUUAUGGAUGGACCCGCGUCGCAUUAGCUAGUUGGUGAGGUAACGGCUCACCAAGGCAACGAUGCGUAGCCGACCUGAGAGGGUGAUCGGCCACACUGGGACUGAGACACGGCCCAGACUCCUACGGGAGGCAGCAGUAGGGAAUCUUCCGCAAUGGACGAAAGUCUGACGGAGCAACGCCGCGUGAGUGAUGAAGGCUUUCGGGUCGUAAAACUCUGUUGUUAGGGAAGAACAAGUGCUAGUUGAAUAAGCUGGCACCUUGACGGUACCUAACCAGAAAGCCACGGCUAACUACGUGCCAGCAGCCGCGGUAAUACGUAGGUGGCAAGCGUUAUCCGGAAUUAUUGGGCGUAAAGCGCGCGCAGGUGGUUUCUUAAGUCUGAUGUGAAAGCCCACGGCUCAACCGUGGAGGGUCAUUGGAAACUGGGAGACUUGAGUGCAGAAGAGGAAAGUGGAAUUCCAUGUGUAGCGGUGAAAUGCGUAGAGAUAUGGAGGAACACCAGUGGCGAAGGCGACUUUCUGGUCUGUAACUGACACUGAGGCGCGAAAGCGUGGGGAGCAACAGGAUUAGAUACCUGGUAGUCACGCCGUAAACGAUGAGUGCUAAGUGUAGAGGUUUCGCCCUUUAGUGCUGAAGUAACGCAUAAGCACUCCGCCUGGGGAGUACGCCGCAAGCUGAACUCAAAGAAUUGACGGGGCCCGCACAAGCGGUGGAGCAUGUGGUUUAAUCGAAGCACGCGAAGACCUUACAGG